Molecule: long non-coding RNA, 326 nt
Organism: Cercocebus atys (sooty mangabey)
Lineage: Eukaryota; Metazoa; Chordata; Mammalia; Primates; Cercopithecidae
Exons: 2
Source: RefSeq, a predicted model, not a curated record
UCCAAAGUGCUGGGAUUACAGGCGUGAGCCACCAUGCCCAGCCAGUAUUUCGUUUCAUUGCUUAUAUUCUUUUGCAGGUGAAAUUUGAAGCUCAGAAGAAAAUUUUACAAAGACUAGAGUCUUACAUCCAAAUGCUCAAUGGAGUCAAUGUGACAACGGCUGUACCCAAAUCUGAGAGCCUCCCUUGUCUUCUCCAUCCUAUUAUACCCUCUCCUGUCAUCAAUGGUUACCGAAAUAAGUCCACCUUCUCUGUGAACCGAGGUCCAGAUGGCAAUCCAAAGACUGUGGGGUACUACCUGGGAACUUGGAGAGGUCAGUUGAAGGUU